UUGCCGCGCAGGUGUGGGUCCUUGUUGCGGCGUCCACCCCAGCGAGCUCGCUUCGCCGCUGGGAAAACCGGCUGCUUUAUUUUUAAGUUCCCCUGACGGAAGUGCUGAUGGUUUGGGGCUCACUGUGGCUCUGCUAAGUGGCGGACCCAACGAUCCCACCAGGACGGGCCAUGCACUAGCCAGCCCCGCAUCAGCGCACGGGAUGACAGCCUUGCUGCCCACGGCAAGAGUUUGCCUCUUGACCUUACAUGGGUUACGUGAACCACAUACUGGCUUCCAGGCAUCCUGGGGCCGUCCCACCGCUGCAGUUUGCCCAGGGCUGUGCUGAGACCCAGCAGCCUCCCCCACCCCCUCUGUCAAGCCUUCCCUUCUGGCUGCUGCUCCAGAAACCCA
Long non-coding RNA from Neogale vison (American mink), 393 nucleotides. RefSeq lists it as uncharacterized. The transcript is spliced from 3 exons. Lineage: Eukaryota; Metazoa; Chordata; Mammalia; Carnivora; Mustelidae. The record is from RefSeq and is a predicted model, not a curated record.